RNAcentral lists this ribosomal RNA (440 nucleotides) under uncultured bacterium. RNAcentral's name for it is "partial 16S ribosomal RNA". It matches the Rfam family "Bacterial small subunit ribosomal RNA", at positions 338 to 795 of the family's 1533-position model. The record is from RNAcentral.
CCUACGGGGUGCAGCAGUGGGGGAUAUUGCACAAUGGGGGAAACCCUGAUGCAGCGACGCCGCGUGGGUGAAGAAGCGCCUCGGCGCGUAAAGCCCUGUCAGCAGGGAAGAAAAUGACGGUACCUGAAGAAGAAGCCCCGGCUAACUACGUGCCAGCAGCCGCGGUAAUACGUAGGGGGCAAGCGUUAGCCGGAUUUACUGGGUGUAAAGGGGGCGCAGACGGCGAUGCAAGCCAGGAGUGAAAGCCCGGGGCCCAACCCCGGGACUGCACUUGGAACUGCGUGGCUAGAGUGCAGGAGGGGCAGGCGGAAUUCCUGGUGUAGCGGUGAAAUGCGUAGAGAUCAGGAGGAACACCGGUGGCGAAGGCGGCCUGCUGGACUGCAACUGACGUUGAGGCCCGAAAGCGUGGGGAGCAAACAGGAUUAGAUACCCUAGUAGUC